Molecule: ribosomal RNA, 251 nt
Filed under: uncultured bacterium
Lineage: Bacteria
Description: partial 16S ribosomal RNA
Rfam family: Bacterial small subunit ribosomal RNA
Source: RNAcentral
GCAAGUCGAACGGCAGCAUGCACUUCGGUGUGAUGGCGAGUGGCGCACGGGUGAGUAACGCGUACAAAAUCUACCUUCAACUGGGGGAAAGUCGCUGGAAACGGCGAAUAAUCCCGCAUAAGACUACAGUGUCGCAUGGCACAGGAGUAAAAGGAGCAAUCCGGUAGAAGAUGAUUGUGCGUCCCAUUAGCUAGAUGGUAAGGUAACGGCUUACCAUGGCGACGAUGGGUAGGGGGCGUGAGAGCGUGGAC